GUAACACGUAUGCAACCUGCCCCAAACAGGGGGAUAGCCUCUCGAAAGAGAGAUUAAUACCCCAUAAUAAUGUUGUUAGUCAUCUAAUGAUAUUUAAAGCUGAGGCGGUUUGGGAUGGGCAUGCGGUUGAUUAGGUAGUUGGUGAGGUAAUGGCUCACCAAGCCAACGAUCAAUAGGGGGUCUGAGAGGAUGUCCCCCCACACUGGUACUGAGACACGGACCAGACUCCUACGGGAGGCAGCAGUAGGGAAUAUUGGACAAUGGGGGCAACCCUGAUCCAGCCAUGCCGCGUGCAGGAAGACUGCCCUAUGGGUUGUAAACUGCUUUUGUACGGGAAGAAACCUCACUACGAGUAGUGAGUUGACGGUACCGUGAGAAUAAGGAUCGGCUAACUUCGUGCCAGCAGCCGCGGUAAUACGAAGGAUCCAAGCGUUGUCCGGAUUUACUGGGUUUAAAGGGUGCGUAGGCGGGCUAUUAAGUCAGUGGUGAAAGCCGAUCGCUUAACGAUCGAACUGCCAUUGAAACUGAUAGUCUUGAGUAUGUUUGAGGUUACUGGAAUAUAACAUGUAGCGGUGAAAUGCUUAGAUAUGUUAUAGAACACCAAUUGCGAAGGCAGGUAACUAAGUCAUAACUGACGCUGAGGCA
This 645-nucleotide ribosomal RNA is filed under the name uncultured bacterium. RNAcentral describes it as "bacterial SSU rRNA". It matches the Rfam family "Bacterial small subunit ribosomal RNA", at positions 110 to 753 of the family's 1533-position model. The record is from RNAcentral.